GUGAGGUAGUGUUCUUCAAAUGGCUUCAGAGAGUAUUAGCACAUCUGUUUAAGAUACACAAUUUUACAUUUGUUCAUUGGGUAUACAACGAGGUUAACAUCAAUGAAUCACAUAUGAUGAUAGAUCCUAGAAGGGAAGGGAACCUGUCCAUGCCCUUGCCUUGACUCUUGAAUGUUAGUUACAGAUGAGCAGCUGACAACUUACUUCCCAGUCAGUGGUUCUCCAUUCCUAUGAAUGAUCUCUUGGACACCCUUUUAGUAGACACCUAUCUGAGAAUUCUUCUGAGAGAGAAUGAUACCAAUAAAUCCCUGAAACAGGACUCCUCAGACAAGAGCCUCUUCACCUACCUAUAUUCCAAGAGCUACCACUGAAGGUGAUGACCACAAAGACGAGAUGCAUUGUUAGAGUUGGUGCCAUUCCUUCUACCACCAGCUUCACCAAAACAAUGAUACAGUCUUCCUUAUGUAUGGAGACUCCUCUCUUUCCUGGUUUGCAGCGGAUACCUCCUGCAGAUAAGAAAUGCUUAACUGAGAAAUGCUCAUGUUGCGAUAUCAUCGAUGAGACUUUAAUUUGGGCAUGGUGACUGUUUCCCUUGCUGCCACUUGACUCAAUCCCAGGAGCCUCCUCAGUAGAGGAUAUAAUAUUACACAAGAUGCUCAAAAUGGUGGAAUUGCUCAGUGCUCCCAUAAAUAUACAUUUACAAUUUUCAUUUGCCACAUGAUAAACUGAAAAAAAUAGAAUAUUUAAAAAAGAAACUCUGCAUGAUUUUUUCAAAAAUUCAAAACAUAUUUACAUAACAUAUAUAAAUUAAAUGUCUUUUCUUUCAAAUCUGUCCCUAUAGUUUUUCUCUAUUAAGGGAGUUGUGUGCAUUCUUUUAGUGGAUAGGUGCACACAAACACACACAAACUAUUUUGGGGACGGGGAACUGCGAGUGUGGUCAUAUUGUAACAUAUUUUCCUGCAAAAUGCCUUUCAGUGGUCUUUUCAAUGGUCUUUUUCUUUUUCAGUAAUGCAUACACAUUUGUGUCAUUUGUUGAAUGACAGCAUGACUGAUUUGUAGAUGAAAUAUAAUUAAAUGUUUUAAACAUUUAUUAUUCAUAGUUAUUUAUGUUAGUACCAAAUUUCUGUGCAAUGAACCUCCCUAUAUAUUAAUAAUUUGCAUUUGUCUAUUAUAAUAAAUUACUUAGUAGUUGCUUUACUGGAA
Carlito syrichta (Philippine tarsier) is the source of this 1203-nucleotide long non-coding RNA. RefSeq lists it as uncharacterized. The record is from RefSeq and is a predicted model, not a curated record. Lineage: Eukaryota; Metazoa; Chordata; Mammalia; Primates; Tarsiidae. The transcript has 4 exons.